Molecule: long non-coding RNA, 534 nt
Filed under: Sorghum bicolor (sorghum)
Lineage: Eukaryota; Viridiplantae; Streptophyta; Magnoliopsida; Poales; Poaceae
Description: long non-coding RNA (SBIC_LNC013072)
Source: RNAcentral
ACAAAGGGCACAGUGACUUACGCUACAACUAUAACAUGUAUAGAAGCAACGUGCCGCAGUAUCCGGAUGUCUCGACUGGCUCACGUGUGCCAGAUGUCCACAAUCACAGUUAGGAAUAGGUUCCUCGGGAGGCACGGGGGCAUCCUUGCAAGACACAUCGGGGUACAACUCUCUAGGACGACCCUUUUUUCGCCAAAUCGACUCAUGAUACGAGUCCUCCAUCAAAAAACGCGAAAAUAAUUCAACACAAAUCACAUAACUAAACAAAGUAAUGUAACAAGAAAUUUACUAAACAUAUUAAAAAUAAACAAAAAAACUUAUCUAAACUAUGAAAACGUAAAGGUUGUAAGAAAUUUACCUUCUCCAAACGAGGGGUGGCCGGGAAAACAACCGCGAAGAACGACGAGGCGGGGAAUACGCAGCGGAGAGGGGCGCCGAGGCGGGGCAAUGGGGGUGAAGGACGACGCAGAGGGGCACCGGAGAAGAGCGGAGCUCGGGUGUGAGAGAGGGAGAGAAAGAGAGACCCUCGAGGUG